RNAcentral lists this small RNA (280 nucleotides) under Pongo abelii (Sumatran orangutan). Lineage: Eukaryota; Metazoa; Chordata; Mammalia; Primates; Hominidae. The record is from RNAcentral.
GCCAGGCGCCAUGGCUCACACCUAUAAUCCCAGCACUUUGGGAGGCUGAGGCAGGAGGAUUGCUUGAGCCCAGGAGUUCAAGACCAGACUGGGAAACAUGGUAAAACCUUGUCUCUAAAAAAUAUACAAAAUUUAGCCAGGUGUGGUGGCAAUGCCUGUAGUCCCAGCUACUUGAAAGGCUGAGGUGGGAGGAUCACCUGAGCCUGGGAGGUUGAGGCUGUAGUGAGCUGUGAUCACACCACUGCACUCCAGCCUGGGCAAAGAGUGAGAACCUGUCUCA